CCCUUAGAUGUUCUGGGCCGCACGCGCGCUACAAUGAUGAAUUCAACGAGUUUAUAACCUUGGUUGAAAAGCCUGGGUAAUCUUUUGAACUUUCGUCGUGAUGGGGCUAGACCCUUGCAAUUAUUGGUCUCCAACGAGGAAUUCCUAGUAAACGCAAGUCAUCAGCUUGCAUUGAUUACGUCCCUGCCCUUUGUACACACCGCCCGUCGCACCUACCGAUUGAAUGGUCCGGUGAAAUCUUCGGAUUGAGACUUUGAUUUGUUUACUCAAGACGCUGUUUCAAGAAGUUGAUUAAACCUUACCAUUUAGAGGAAGGUGAAGUCGUAACA
RNAcentral lists this ribosomal RNA (329 nucleotides) under uncultured eukaryote. RNAcentral's name for it is "partial 18S ribosomal RNA". It matches the Rfam family "Eukaryotic small subunit ribosomal RNA", at positions 1470 to 1796 of the family's 1831-position model. The record is from RNAcentral.